This 962-nucleotide long non-coding RNA is filed under the name Homo sapiens (human). Its description in RNAcentral is "MEF2C antisense RNA 1". The record is from RNAcentral. Lineage: Eukaryota; Metazoa; Chordata; Mammalia; Primates; Hominidae.
AGCAGAGGCGCAACAGCUGCAACGCCAUCCAAUUAUUGCCGAUCCUCCCCUCCAACACUGCUCUCAUCACCUAUAUACUCUUCUCUCUGCCCGUCUCUGCUUCCCCCCCCUUCCCCCCCCCCUUUUCUCCCGGCCGACGGAGCUGAAGGGGCGGGGGUUCCUUCCUUGGAGUGUUUCUAGAGCUCGGAGGCUGCUGGUAGGGGGGCACCACUUUCAGAUAAAAACAUAGACCUGAAUGGCAUCAUCCAGUAUCCAAGGAAACCAUGUUCUCUAAACAUGAAUAUGCCUUUGGGGGAAGACAGAAGAACAUGGAAGCCAUGUGAAAAAAACGGAUCCUAAGAAGCAUUGAAAAGAACAACUUUCAAGUCAAAAGAAUCAAGGUGAAGAGAAUGGAUACUCAUGCCCAUGUGAAUUUGCUGCCCCAAGUCUACUGGAGGAUCAAGCUGCAGGUUUCAAUAGCUAUAGCCUGAAGAAUCUCUGUAAUGAACUAAAACAAUCAGUAAAAGAUCAGUUGCAGUGGAAGACAUUAUACUCUAGAUUUUUCUAGUAUUAUUAAAUUUGAAAAUGAUUUAUUCCAAAUUUUAACUUAGCUUUUAAUUUUACUAGUGUCAAAAUGUUGUACUACUUUGGACAACUGAUUUUUCCAAUAGAGAGUCAAUAGCAUCUUUGCAGGGUGGUUUAAAAGCCAAUAAUUUAAUCCAUAUUCUACUAAAACUUUUAAUAUAAGCAUUUUACCCAGAUGUAUUUUUUCCUUGUUUUAGAAAAUCUGAUUUUAAUUGCUAAAACUCGUUUUUAAAUAUUAAUUCAAUGAAAGAAAUGCUAUGGUUUUCUACUUUUUCAUUUCUUAAACUCAAGGGAAAACAUGGGUGAAAAACAAAAAAUUGUUCUGCAUAGAGUCUUCUUUAAUGUCUCACUUUGGUGAUGUAUGAAAUAAAAACCAAAUUGUUUUAACCAGCUAAAAA